RNAcentral lists this non-coding RNA (212 nucleotides) under Peptacetobacter hiranonis. RNAcentral describes it as "Clostridium hiranonis T-box sequence". It matches the Rfam family "T-box leader". Rfam says of the family: Uncharged tRNA acts as the effector for transcription antitermination of genes in the T-box leader family. T-boxes are found upstream of many aminoacyl-tRNA synthetase genes and some amino acid biosynthetic genes usually in Gram-positive bacteria. The record is from RNAcentral. Lineage: Bacteria; Bacillati; Bacillota; Clostridia; Peptostreptococcales; Peptostreptococcaceae.
AUGAUUGCAAUGAUAAAGAAGUAGUAGGUAGUGAAAGUCUUACAGAGAGGAAAUGUUGAUGAGAAAUUUCUAGAUGGAAGCAACUGAACCAAUCUUUUAGCUUAGAGGGGUAGCAACCUCUACGGAUGGAGCCGUUAUACUCCAGCAAGAGAAUCACAUGUUUUGUGAUUAACUAGAGUGGUACCGCGGAAACUAUGCCUUUCGUCUCUAUU